This 440-nucleotide ribosomal RNA is filed under the name uncultured bacterium. Its description in RNAcentral is "partial 16S ribosomal RNA". It matches the Rfam family "Bacterial small subunit ribosomal RNA", at positions 338 to 795 of the family's 1533-position model. The record is from RNAcentral.
CCUACGGGAGGCAGCAGUGGGGAAUCUUGCGCAAUGGGGGAAACCCUGAUGCAGCGACGCCGCGUGAGUGAAGAAGGAAUUCGUUAUGUAAAACUCUGUUAGUAGGGAAGAAAAUGACGGUAACUGACUAAGAAGCCCCGGCUAACUACGUGCCAGCAGCCGCGGGCAUACGUAGGGGGCAAGCGUUAGCCGGAUUUACUGGGGGUAAAGGGAGCGUAGACGGCAGUGCAAGGCUGGAGUGAAAGGCGGGGGCUCAACCCACGGACUGCACUGGAAACUGUACGGCUGGAGUGCAGGAGAGGAAAGUGGAAUUCCAUGUGUAGCGGUGAAAUGCGCAGAUAUUAGGAGGAACACCAGUGGCGAAGGCGGCUUACUGGACUGUAACUGACGCUGAGGCUCGAAAGCGUGGGGAGCAAACAGGAUUAGAUACCCGAGUAGUC